This is a long non-coding RNA of Homo sapiens (human), 3376 nucleotides long. RefSeq lists it as uncharacterized. NCBI's taxonomy places the organism in Eukaryota, Metazoa, Chordata, Mammalia, Primates, Hominidae. The transcript is spliced from 2 exons. The record is from RefSeq and is a predicted model, not a curated record.
UUCAAACCCCUGGGCUCAAGGAGUCCACCUGCCUUGGCCUCCCAAAGUGCUAGCAUUACAGGUGUGAGCCACUAUGCCCCACCUAAUAAGCUAUUUUUGUAUGUGGUUAUUUUUGAGAUGGAGUCUCGCUCUGUCACUCAGGCUGGAGUGCAACAGCAUGAUCUCAGCUAACUGUGCAACGCCCACCUCCUGAGUUCAAGUGAUCCUCCCGCCUCAGCCACCCGAGUAGCUGGGAUUACAGGCACCUGCCAUCAUGCUCGGCUAAUUUUUGUAUUUUUGUCACAAUGGGGUUUCACCAUGUUGGCCAGGCUGGUCUUUAACUCCUGACCUCAGGUGAUCCACCCACCUCGGCCUCCCAAAAUGCUGGGAUUACAGGUAUGAGCCACCAUGCCCGGCCGUAUGUGUUUUAUAAUUUAUAUUUUUAGUAUAGUAGUCCCCUCAUAUUCUUGGGGGAUAUGUUCCAAGACCCCCAGUGGAUGCCUGAAACCACAGAUAGUACCAAACCCUAUUUAUACUAUGUUUUUCCUAUACAAACACACCUACGAUAAUGCGCAAUUUAUAAGUUAGUCACAGUAAGAAAUUAACAAUAAUUAAAAUAAAAUAGAACGAUUAUAACAAUAAGCCAGCAUCACAACUCUUGUGCUUUGGGGCCAUUAUGAAGUAAAAUAAGGGUGACGAACACAAGCACUGUGAUACCAACAUGGCUGAUCUGAUAACCAACACGGUUCAGGAUGCAAUGAGAUUUCAUCACGCUGCUCACAAUGGUGUGCAAUUCAAAACUUAUGAAUUGUUUACUUCUGGAAUUUUCCAUUUAAUAUUUUCAGACUACAGUUGACCAUGGGUAACUGAAACCACAGAAAGCAAAACCAGAGAUAAAGGCGGACUACUGUACAGUAUUUCAGGCAUACUACUUAUAAUUAAUACACAUUAAAAAGUUUCUCAAGGCCAGGUGCACUGCCUCACACCUGUAAUUCCAGCACUUUGGGAGGCUGAGGCUGGAGGAUUGCUUGAGGCCAGGAGUUUGAGACCAGCCUAGGCCAUUAGCAAGACCUUGUCCCUACUAAAAAUAAAAAUGUAGUCUGGUGUGGUGGUGCACACCUAUAUUCCUAGCUACUCGGGAGGCUGAGGUGGGAGGAUCGCAUGAGCCGAGAGGUUGAGGGUGCAGUGAGCCAUGAUCACGCCACUGCACUCAAGCCUAGGUGACAGAGCAAGACUCUCCAAAAGAAAAAGCUUCUCAAAAGCCCUAUGUAAUAAAUUUAUCUGUUUUUUUUUUUUUUUUUGCCAGAGUUCUAAGUAGAAGUCUGAAGUCUGAGUUAAUAUUUCUAGCUCUUCAUUUGGCUGUACAUUCUUGGUAUUGAGGCUUUUUUUUUUUUGAGAUGGAGUCUCGCCCUGCUGCCCAGGCUGGAGUGCAGUAGCGUGAUCUUGGCUCACUGCAACCUCCACCUCCCAGGUUCAAGUGAUUCUCCUGCCUCAGCCUGGAUGAGGUGGGAGGCUGGCUGGAGCUUGGGAAGUUGAGGUUGCAGUGAGCCAUGAUCAUGCCACUGCAUUCCAGCCUUAGCAAUAUAGUGAGACCCUGUCUCAAACAAACAAACUAACUAAAAACACCUGAGUUAUUAUUUUCUCAAUUCUCCCAAGGACAGUAUAGAGCCAAAGCCAUUCCAGAUAUGCUGCACAAAAGAUAAUCCAUUGAAGCCAAUGGAUUCCUUAUGGCUUUAAGGCUUAAUUCUCUCAUAAACCUGUUCUAGUGGCUUCCACAUUAGCGGCAACAGGAUGAAGGGAUAAACAGCCAAGUAUUCAUAUGAACAAUGUGCAAAGUGGGGAUAUGCAUCUUUAUAAUUGCCAGUAUAGCUACUGGGGCUACUCACACUAUAUUAAUUAUAAACUUGAGAAUUUACUGCAAAAUUGUAUCUGUAGAGUCACACAGGCUUCUGUUUACCUAGAUAAAGCAGUUGCAGAUUAGCAAAAAUGGUUAUAUUAAUUAUUAUUAUUAUUUUUGAGACAGAGUCUCAUUCUGUUGCCCAGGCUGGAGUACAGUGGCGCGAUCUCGGCUCACUCUCUCUCUCUCAAUCUCACCUCUGCCUCCUGGGUUCAAGUAAUUCUCCUGCCUCAGCCUCCCGAGUAGGUAGGAUUACAGGCACAUGCCUCCACACCCGACUAAUUUUUGUAUUUUUAGUAGAGACGGGGUUUCACCAUGUUGGCCAGGAUGGUUUUGAACUCCUGGCCUCAAGUGAUCCACCUGCCUCAGCCUCCCAAAGUGCUGGGAUUACAGGCGUGAGCCACCAUGCCCAGCAUGUAUGAAAUAUUAAAUGUCCCCACCAGCAACAUCUUAACUUAUUUUAUAGUUCCACAGUUUUACCAUUUUCCUACAGUAAUAAAUUACUUCCUGAAUAAUUUGUAAUUUCUCUCUACUUAAAAUUGAAAGAUUUUAAAAAGGAUAUCAAAUCAAUGUGAUGGUCUCUCACUAUUAAGUAUAGACAUACCAGUGAGAUAUUUAGUGUUAAGUUCCAGACUACUAAAAUAAAGUGAAUAUUGCAAUAUAGCAAGUCAAAAUUUUGGGUUUCCCAGUGCAUACAAAAGCUAUGUUUACACUAUAGUCUAUUAAGUGUACAAUAGCAUUAUGUCUUUAAAAAAAAACGAUGUAUACACCUUAAUUUAAAAGACUUUAUUGCUAUAAAAUGCUAAUCAUUAUGUGAACCUUCAUUAAGUUGUAAUCUUUUUGCUGUAUAUAAGCAAAAUUGUAUAUAACCAAAUAAAUUACAAAUUAAGCUAUCUCUUGAUCUGGGCACUAUAUGAAAUAUCACAAUGAGGGUCAGAAAAUGAGACCCCAAAAUAUGCUGCUUUGGACUUCAAACUCAGAGCAGCAAAUGCAGGAGAGGACUUUCUCAGAAGUUCUCCUAUCCACCUAAAGGACGGACAAAGACUUUACCAGGAAUCAUGAAUUCCUUCCUCAGGUAGAACCAACUAGGAGAAACUGGUGCCUAUUACAAGAAGGAAGACUAGAGUUGAUAUCUUGUGCCUCAGCCUCCCGAGCAGCUGGGAUUACAGGCGUGCGCCACCAUGCCUGGGCAAAGUGCAGUGAAGAAACACAUGUAAUGUCCCCACCAAAGGAAUCUGACAAGAAUCAGUCUCUUAAAGUGUACUACCCAUAUGUAAUUGAAAAGCUGCAUGCAAGAUACCAACUGAGGAUUAUAAUACCAGUGAGUAAGAACACAAGUCAACAAAAUAUUUCAAAACAAGAGAUGCUCAGUUGUGUUAAACAAAAACCAGGCACAGAAGAACUUUUUAAAAAAUGGAAAUGGAAACACUUUCUUGAAAAAGAAAAUUGUAUUUUUAGAAAAGCUACCCACAUAAAAAUAUAUCAAAAGAUAGAACUGCC